CCUACGGGUGGCAGCAGUGGGGAAUAUUGGGCAAUGGGCGCAAGCCUGACCCAGCAACGCCGCGUGAGGGAAGAAGGCUUUCGGGUUGUAAACUUCUUUUCUGAGGGACAAAGAAAGUGACGGUACCUCCUGAAUAAGCCACGGCUAACUACGGGCCAGCAGCAGCGGUAAUACGUAGGUGGCACGCGUUCUCCGGAUUUAUUGGGUGUAAAGUGCGUGUAGGCGGGAAAGCAAGUCAGAUGGGAAAACUCAGGGCUCAACCCUGAGCCUGCAGUUGAAACUGUGUUUCUUGAGUGCUGGAGAGGCAAGCGGAAUGCCGGGUGUAGCGGUGAAAUGCGUAGAUAUACGGAGGAACACCAGUGGCGAAGGCGGAUUGCUGGACAGUAACUGACGCUGAGGCGCGAAAGCGUGGGGAGCAAACAGGAUUAGAUACCCUAGUAGUC
RNAcentral lists this ribosomal RNA (443 nucleotides) under uncultured bacterium. RNAcentral's name for it is "partial 16S ribosomal RNA". It matches the Rfam family "Bacterial small subunit ribosomal RNA", at positions 338 to 795 of the family's 1533-position model. The record is from RNAcentral.